Molecule: non-coding RNA, 93 nt
Organism: Armillaria novae-zelandiae
Lineage: Eukaryota; Fungi; Basidiomycota; Agaricomycetes; Agaricales; Physalacriaceae
Source: the annotation of a GenBank genome assembly
ACGCCGAUGGUGAAACGGUUAUCAUGCUUGCCUUCCAUUGCCUAUUUCAUUGAAAAUUAGCAAGCGGUAGGGGUUCGACUCCCCUUCGGCGUA